GUCUUUGUGGUGUAGUGGUCAGCACGCUCAAGCGUAAUCGAGAGGUCCGUGGUUCGAUUCCCGGCGAAAGCG
RNAcentral lists this transfer RNA (72 nucleotides) under Stegodyphus mimosarum. It matches the Rfam family "tRNA". From Rfam's summary of the family: Transfer RNA (tRNA) molecules are approximately 80 nucleotides in length. Their secondary structure includes four short double-helical elements and three loops (D, anti-codon, and T loops). The record is from Rfam by way of RNAcentral. Lineage: Eukaryota; Metazoa; Arthropoda; Arachnida; Araneae; Eresidae.